Molecule: ribosomal RNA, 408 nt
Filed under: uncultured bacterium
Lineage: Bacteria
Description: partial 16S ribosomal RNA
Rfam family: Bacterial small subunit ribosomal RNA
Source: RNAcentral
GACGAACGCUGGCGGCGUGCUUAACACAUGCAAGUCGAACGGAGUGGCGAACGGGUGAGUAACACGUGGGUGACCUGCCCUGCACUUCGGGAUAAGCCUGGGAAACUGGGUCUAAUACCGGAUAGUGUGGGAUGGGCGCGCGGCCUAUCAGCUUGUUGGUGGGGUAAUGGCGUACCAAGGCGGCGACGGGUGGCCGGCCUGAGAGGGUGACCGGCCACAGAGGGACUGAGGCACGAGCCAGACUACAACGGGAGACAGCGGUGAGGGAUAUAGCACAAUAGGCGGAAGCAGGAAGCAGCGACGCCGCGUGGGGGAUGACGGCCAUCAGGUUGUAAACUCCUUUCACCAUAGACGCGGUAGAUGGAGAAGAAGCACCGGCUAACUACGUGCCAGCAGCCGCGGUAAUUC